Molecule: ribosomal RNA, 229 nt
Filed under: uncultured bacterium
Lineage: Bacteria
Description: partial 16S ribosomal RNA
Rfam family: Bacterial small subunit ribosomal RNA
Source: RNAcentral
AGUGUAGGUGGCUAUUUAAGUCGGAUGUGAAAUCCCCGGGCUCAACCUGGGAAUGGCAUUCGAUACUGGAUAGCUAGAAUUUAGUAGAGGUAAGUGGAAUUCCGGGUGUAGCGGUGAAAUGCGUAGAUAUCCGGAGGAACAUCAGUGGCGAAGGCGGCUUACUGGACUAAAAUUGACGCUGAGGCUCGAAAGCGUGGGGAGCAAACAGGAUUAGAUACCCUGGUAGUCC